Schistosoma mansoni is the source of this 45-nucleotide non-coding RNA. Lineage: Eukaryota; Metazoa; Platyhelminthes; Trematoda; Strigeidida; Schistosomatidae. The record is from Rfam.
AUCCAGCUGACGAGUCCCGAGUAGGACGAAACGCUCGUCCUGGAU